Molecule: long non-coding RNA, 837 nt
Organism: Alosa sapidissima (American shad)
Lineage: Eukaryota; Metazoa; Chordata; Actinopteri; Clupeiformes; Clupeidae
Exons: 3
Source: RefSeq, a predicted model, not a curated record
GACAGCCCAGCCCAUUAGGCAGCUACCAGAUGGCUUAGAACUCUGCCAGGAGCAAGCUGUGAUGUCAUAAUCGAAAUUCAAAUCCUGAACAUUCAGCCAUUCAUUUCAGUGGGGAAAUUGAAAUAACGCAAAAACGACAAGGGGCAGCCACACGACAAAUGUAAGCAAGCUACACACCGGUUUGGGCCUGAAUUUUUAGAGUUGGAACCGUAUCGAUAGCUCAAACGGUCUAGGAGCAGUAGUCUGUGCAAAACAUGGGUGAAGGGGAAUAAUAAAUAAGAAACCUUAAGAAGAACAACAGUGGGCUUGCUGGAUCAAACCCACUAAUAAUAAUAAUAAUAAUAAUAAUAAGAAAACUUAAGAAGAACAACAGUGGGCUUGCUGGAUCAAACCCACUAACUAGAAUUGCGUUUCCGAGGAACUGCAAGAGUGGGUUUGAUCAGGUGCAGUUUGGGCACACGGACCAAAUCUCUGCGAGGAAUUUCUCUGGGAAUGCUGAAGGUGCAGGCAGGUCUUCCCAUGAUGCUUUGAGUGAUCGGAGGACGUGUGUGUCCGUAACGCCUGCAGCUCAGCCAGGAUGAGGCGCAGCAGAGACGAAUCGUCCUCCUUCCUCUCCAUCGACGGAACCACUCCUGUGCCGGUCCUCCAGGUGAGAGCGUUCGCAUCACACUUCGAGGCCAUCCGCAUCAGGAAACUGACCGUGAUGGUCUCAAUGAUGCUGCAGCCCACAAACAAGAAGACCCCAGUGCAGAACAUUCCUGUGGACAUGGAGAUCGAGUAGAGUUGUGUUCAUGGCUGCCCACUUCCCUGCCUGAAUAAAAACCCUGUGAAGGCUGA